Molecule: ribosomal RNA, 301 nt
Filed under: uncultured bacterium
Lineage: Bacteria
Description: partial 16S ribosomal RNA
Rfam family: Bacterial small subunit ribosomal RNA
Source: RNAcentral
CAGUGCCACGGUAAAACGGAGGGUGCAAGCGUUAAUCGGAAUUACUGGGCGUAAAGCGCACGCAGGCGGUCUGACAAGUCAGAUGUGAAAUCCCCGGGCUUAACCUGGGAACUGCAUUUGAAACUGUCAGGCUGGAGUCUUGUAGAGGGGGGUAGAAUUCCAGGUGUAGCGGUGAAAUGCGUAGAGAUCUGGAGGAAUACCGGUGGCGAAGGCGGCCCCCUGGACAAAGACUGACGCUCAGGUGCGAAAGCGUGGGGAGCAAACAGGAUUAGAUACCCCGGUAGUCCCUGUCUCUUAUACA